RNAcentral lists this non-coding RNA (110 nucleotides) under Acidobacteriota bacterium. RNAcentral's name for it is "Acidobacteria bacterium SAM-I sequence". It matches the Rfam family "SAM riboswitch aptamer (S box leader)". From Rfam's summary of the family: The SAM riboswitch is found upstream of a number of genes which code for proteins involved in methionine or cysteine biosynthesis in Gram-positive bacteria. The SAM riboswitch acts at the level of transcription termination control. The predicted structure consists of a complex stem-loop region followed by a single stem loop terminator region. Lineage: Bacteria; Pseudomonadati; Acidobacteriota. The record is from RNAcentral.
UUAUCCAGAGUGGCAGAGGGUACAGGCCCGAGGAAGCCACGACAACCGGUCCCGUAAGUAGUUUGGGGUGCCGGUGCCAACUCCUGCCCCGUAGAGGGGAGAGAUGAGAU